CAGCAGCCACGGUAAUACGUAGGUGGCAAGCGUUAUCCGGAAUUAUUGGGCGUAAAGCGCGCGCAGGCGGUUUCUUAAGUCUGAUGUGAAAGCCCACGGCUCAACCGUGGAGGGUCAUUGGAAACUGGGGAACUUGAGUGCAGAAGAGAAAAGCGGAAUUCCACGUGUAGCGGUGAAAUGCGUAGAGAUGUGGAGGAACACCAGUGGCGAAGGCGGCUUUUUGGUCUGUAACUGACGCUGAGGCGCGAAAGCGUGGGGAGCAAACAGGAUUAGAUACCCCUGUAGUCCCUGUCUCUUAUAC
RNAcentral lists this ribosomal RNA (301 nucleotides) under uncultured bacterium. Its description in RNAcentral is "partial 16S ribosomal RNA". It matches the Rfam family "Bacterial small subunit ribosomal RNA", at positions 509 to 807 of the family's 1533-position model. The record is from RNAcentral.